GUGGGCUACGGCGACAUGGUCCCAACAACCAUUGGGGGGAAGAUCGUCGGGUCUCUCUGCGCAAUCGCUGGCGUGCUGACGAUUGCGCUGCCCGUGCCCGUCAUCGUCUCAAAC
Tetraodon nigroviridis (spotted green pufferfish) is the source of this 114-nucleotide non-coding RNA. Lineage: Eukaryota; Metazoa; Chordata; Actinopteri; Tetraodontiformes; Tetraodontidae. The record is from Rfam.